This is a ribosomal RNA of Telopea speciosissima, 156 nucleotides long. RefSeq annotates it as 5.8S ribosomal RNA. NCBI's taxonomy places the organism in Eukaryota, Viridiplantae, Streptophyta, Magnoliopsida, Proteales, Proteaceae. The record is from RefSeq and is a predicted model, not a curated record. The transcript has a single exon.
GACUCUCGACAGCGGACAUCUCGGCUCUUGCAUCGAUGAAGAACGUAGUGAAAUGCGAUACUUGGUGUGAAUUGUAAAAUCCCAUGAACCAUCGAGUCUUUGAACGCAAGUUACACCCUAGGUCAUCAGGCUGAGGGCACGAUUGCCUGGGCAUCA